This 253-nucleotide ribosomal RNA is filed under the name uncultured bacterium. Its description in RNAcentral is "partial 16S ribosomal RNA". It matches the Rfam family "Bacterial small subunit ribosomal RNA", at positions 524 to 776 of the family's 1533-position model. The record is from RNAcentral.
UACGUAGGUGACAAGCGUUGUCCGGAUUUACUGGGCGUAAAGAGCGCGCAGGCGGUCGACCAAGUCGAGUGUGAAAGCCCCCGGCUCAACUGGGGAGGGUCAUUCGAUACUGAUCGACUCGAAGGCAGGAGAGGGUAGUGGAAUUCCCGGUGUAGUGGUGAAAUGCGUAGAUAUCGGGAGGAACACCAGUGGCGAAGGCGACUACCUGGCCUGUUCUUGACGCUGAGGCGCGAAAGCGUGGGGAGCGAACAGG